This 119-nucleotide ribosomal RNA is filed under the name Pteropus alecto (black flying fox). The record is from RNAcentral. Lineage: Eukaryota; Metazoa; Chordata; Mammalia; Chiroptera; Pteropodidae.
GUCUACGGCCAUGCUACCCUGAACAAGCCCGAUCCCGUCUGAUCUCGGAAGCUAAGCAGGGUCGGGCCUAGUUAGUUCUUGGAUGGGAGACCACCUAGGAAGACCAGGUGCUGUAAGCG